This 406-nucleotide ribosomal RNA is filed under the name Cardinium endosymbiont of Bemisia tabaci. Its description in RNAcentral is "bacterial SSU rRNA". It matches the Rfam family "Bacterial small subunit ribosomal RNA", at positions 234 to 637 of the family's 1533-position model. The record is from RNAcentral. Lineage: Bacteria; Pseudomonadati; Bacteroidota; Cytophagia; Cytophagales; Amoebophilaceae.
CUUCCUAUUAGCUAGUUGGUGAGGUAAUGGCUCACCAAGGCUACGAAGGGUAGGGGCUCUUAGUGGAAGGUCCCCCACUCUGGCACUGAGAUCCGGCCCAGACUCCUACGGGAGGCAGCAGUAGGGAAUAUUGGUCAAUGGGUGCAAGCCUGAACCAACCAUGCCGCGUGCAGGAUGAAGGCUCUCUGAGUUGUAAACUGCUUUUGUACAGGAGCAAAAAAAUCCCUGCGGGGGUUCUUGAGAGUACUGUAAGAAUAAGCACCGGCUAAUUCCGUGCCAGCAGCCGCGGUAAUACGGGAGGUGCAAGCGUUAUCCGGUUUUAUUGGGUUUAAAGGGUGCGUAGGCGGCUUAUUAAGUCAGUUGUGAAAUCCUAGUGCUUAACGCUAGAACUGCGAUUGAUACUAUU